Molecule: long non-coding RNA, 236 nt
Filed under: Panax ginseng (ginseng)
Lineage: Eukaryota; Viridiplantae; Streptophyta; Magnoliopsida; Apiales; Araliaceae
Description: long non-coding RNA (PGIN_LNC004290)
Source: RNAcentral
AAAGAGAACUUUCACUACGUAUCCUUACCACACAGGUUAAAGGCACUCAACAAUCAAUCAUAUUGUCUUUGCACCUAGUCUAAAAACAUUCAACUGUAACACACCAAUUAAUGGUUAUGAUCAUGACAAUCAACAGUUAGUCUUUGCACAACUUUCAACAUAAUUUAAGUCUGAUGAUUAUAAAAAUGAUAUAAAGGAUGAAUAAAAUAAUAAGAAUAAUAAGAUCAAGAAUAAAU